UGUACAGCACUUUGAGAUAUCAGCUGAUGUACGAAGGGCUAUAUAACAUAAACUUGAUUUGAUUUAAGUGGGUGAGUGUUGUGUAUGUCCACUAGCACAUUAUGUGAUAAAAUGGCCUGUAAUACAUCAAUACUGCUUAUUCAGUUACAGAACAACAAGCUCAAUGAAACUGCAGUUAAUAGCAUAUAAAUAGAAGAAACCCUCUAAGACUCUUGGAUUGUGUAUUGCACCAUUCCUUAAAUGUGGCAUGGACUCUAUCUCCAAGGGAUACAGUGGUGGCCCGCUUGUGACAGAGAAGGACUCAGUAUGGUGGCUGGUAGGGGACACAAGCUGGGGAGAUGUCUGUGACCAGAGGAACAAACCAGGCGUCCAUGGAAACGUCGCCUUCUUCCUAGGCUGGAUCUAUGAACAAAUGCAGAAAUGAAGAUGAAAACUGAGAAAUAAUCAGGAUGAAAUGGUGGAAACAUUGUAUUUUUUUCUGAAUAGAAAAGCCAGAAAGAGAUGUUUGUCUACUUUUUGUACGUACAGUGUGUCAUCAGAAAUUCCGACGCUAUGUGCUACAUAUUGAAUUUGUAUGUAUGUAUUAAUUGAAUCAUUAAAUUACUACUUCUACAUCCUGA
Molecule: non-coding RNA, 620 nt
Organism: Salvelinus sp. IW2-2015
Lineage: Eukaryota; Metazoa; Chordata; Actinopteri; Salmoniformes; Salmonidae
Source: RefSeq, a predicted model, not a curated record